AGUGAAAUUGCUGGGUCAGAGGCAAAAUUUGUUUUAACUUCUAAGGAACUACCAGACUGUUUUCCAAAAUGACUGUAUCAUUUUUUAUUCCCACCAGCAAC
This 101-nucleotide microRNA precursor is filed under the name Marmota monax (woodchuck). The record is from RNAcentral. Lineage: Eukaryota; Metazoa; Chordata; Mammalia; Rodentia; Sciuridae.